CACUUCACACUACAAUACACACAAGCAUACAACUCGUCUAGAUCCAGGCAUGAUCUUGGUCGUGGAUCAUUGGUUAUUGUGGCCUUUGCUGUAGAAAUUGUGCGUCUAGUGUUCUAGCGAUCUUCCGAAUCUUCACCUUGACGAAACCUUCGCGCAGAUCACUCACUGGAAUCACCACAAAACUUCACCGACCGCCGCACAUCAAACUUCGUCAGGUACAAUCACGCCGAACUUUGCUGAGGAAGUGACUUGGUCGUCGUCGUCGUAAGCAGAGUCGUUGUUACGGCAGUGAUCGCGCGAAGAAAUGAACGAGCUAUUGCGCUAGCAAAAACUCAACCGAGCGAGCCAAAUGGAAUCACAACAGAAGAAAGAAAAGAGAGAGGGAGGAGAAAAAAGUGCAACGAAAACGGAUGGAAUGGAGCAAUCGAUGGCAAAACAAGCAAACCGAUAAGACGAUCGAGCUUAAGUUUGCACGACUUACGCGAUCCAAACAAUCCAAAACAAAUCGAUGGCACGCCACCAACACAUCGAACGCAACAUUCAAGUAAUGGUAGGUGCGAGGAUCACGCAAGAAAGUGUUAGUGAGAAAAUAAAAAAAAAACAAUAAAGAGACAGAGUCUGACUUUGAGCGAGCCAAAGGCAUGAAUCAACGCGAGGUUGUUACGACGGCUGAAUGGUGAUUAUUGUAUUGAUAGGAGUUUGAGGUUGGACAAAUACAGCUGAACCGUCUCGCCCCUA
Culex quinquefasciatus (southern house mosquito) is the source of this 738-nucleotide long non-coding RNA. RefSeq lists it as uncharacterized. Lineage: Eukaryota; Metazoa; Arthropoda; Insecta; Diptera; Culicidae. The record is from RefSeq and is a predicted model, not a curated record. The transcript is spliced from 2 exons.